This 101-nucleotide small nuclear RNA is filed under the name Aotus nancymaae (Ma's night monkey). Lineage: Eukaryota; Metazoa; Chordata; Mammalia; Primates; Aotidae. The record is from RNAcentral.
GUAUUAUUAAGAGUACAAUGAAAAUUGUAACAAUACAGAAAAGAUUAGCAUGGCCCCUGUACAAGAAGGACAUGCAAAUUUGUGAAGUGCUCCAUGUUUGU